GUCUCUGUGGCGCAAUCGGCUAGCGCUUUUGGCUGUUAACUAAAAGGUUGGUGGUUUGAACCCACCCAGAGGCG
Molecule: transfer RNA, 74 nt
Organism: Homo sapiens (human)
Lineage: Eukaryota; Metazoa; Chordata; Mammalia; Primates; Hominidae
Rfam family: tRNA
About the family: Transfer RNA (tRNA) molecules are approximately 80 nucleotides in length.
Source: Rfam